UUUAAAUUUGAAUAAAUAACCAUUUCUUUUUCUAAAUUUAAAUAAAUAACCUUCUUUUUUCUAAAUUUGAAAUAAUGACCCCCUUUUUUUUUGUGUGCUGGUGGUGUUACCACAGGUUUGUGUAUGCGUCUAGUGUGGUUGGGAGUCAUAGACUCUUACACUGCCGCUGGAUAGCUUAUAUUCAUAGGUGAAAAGAAAGCUGAGUGCGUAAGUCUUUCCUUCCAGUACAUAGCCUCUACACUAACAAGACUUCUACAGUGCCUCCCCGUGACAGCACAUGGUAACUAGGAUCUAGUGUCCUAGGCUUAACUGUAGAGGAUCUCGGAGUAGCAAGGACCCUAGAGAUGAAGUGUGUAGGCCGAUCUACGUGCGGACAUCCCUAGCACUCAUCAACCUUGCCCCAGUUAUGGGUUAAAUAGCCGGCUGAAUGAUGGCCAUCAGCCUUGAAAGGAUGUCUAGGAGAAGAAACUCUGAUAUGAAAUUUUUGGUAGAUUUGACUCGUCAGCCUUGGUCUGCAAUUGAUCUAAAGGAAAUAAAGCAUGAGUAAAGAUUCUCUGGUUCUCCAGGUUUGGGAUUGAGAGAUAUGCCAACAACCUAUCCUUGUAAAAAGGAAGAAUGAUUAUAUACUGAUUAAUCUCCCAGAACAUCACAACCGGGUCUGCAUGAAGCUUUCACAUUCAAAAGACAAGUUAUCCUGGAUAUUUUGAAAACACGUAAAUGAUUUACUGAAGGAAAAUCAAAGGAAAGUAGGACCUGGAUGUAAAAUAAUACCAACUUUAAGACAAAGCGUGCUUGUUAAUUUAGAAAUCAACUGAAGCAGAAGAACGGAUUCUGUUGAUCUGAGGAACUUGGAAACACUUAUUGACAAAAAAAAUAUGUAGUAAUACAAUUAUGUUUAAAGACAGAGAUAGAAAGAGGGGGGAGAGCAAGUUGUAAAGAUUUAUUCUUUUAAACCAGAUAUGUUGAUUACAUUUGAAUUUCAUAGGCCUACAGUUCCCCCCUAAAUGGUCUUAGUUAAUACAUGUACUAGGUGUUUAAUGUAAGACUUUGAUGUGACUUGUGAGAACAAUCAGCUGCCAUUGGUUUAAAUCUAUUUUUAUGCCCUUUCAGUUGGGGGGGGGGGGGCAUAUUGUUUUACUCCUGCCCUUACGCUCUACCAUCCUAUUGUAGGUAUAUAGAUAUAAGAAGAUGUGAAAUUGGUGACAAUGAGACAACUCUCCAUUCAAUUCACAGCUAUUCCAGAUAACUACUCCUAGAGUUUAAUGAGUUAUCUCCCAUAUUUGUAGGUACUUUUUGUCUCGCCUUGACAGAGUCAAAAAGCAAGACAUAGGUAUGCUGUUUCCGGCGGCGGCAAUGGUGUCAACAAUGUAUUAGUUUGUGAUUAGGUCUAGUUUAUGGUGAACCACAAGUGGUAUGUCAAUCAUAUUUGGUAUGCAGUUGUAUAAGCAUUGGCACAUCUAAUUUCCAUCGAGAUUAUUUGGCCCUGCCCCCUCAGUCAUGGUCUAUUGACUUCGAAACUUUUGCUUAUUUUACAUGUAUUAGUUUGUGAUUAGGUCAGUUUAUGGGGAACAACAAGUGGUAGGUCAGUGAUAUUUGGUAUGCAGUUGUUUAAGCAUUGCCAUAUCUCAUUUCCAUGGAGAUAAUUUGGCUCCGCCCCCUUAGUCAUGGUCUAUUGACUUUGAAAAUUUUUCUUAGUUAUCAUGUAUUAGUUUGUGAUUAGGUCAGUUCAAGGGGAACGAUUAGUGGUAGGCCAAUGUUAAUUGGUAAUCAGUUGUAUAAGCAUUGGCACAUCUCAUUUCCAUGGAGAAUUUUUUUGGCCUCAUCCCUCAGUCACAGUCUAAUGACUUUGAAACUUAUCUUAGUUUAUAUGUAUUAGUUUGUGAUUAGAUCAGUUUAAGAUGAACUGCUAAUGUUAUUAAGUCAAUGAUAUUUGGUAUGCAAAUUUAUUGGCAUUUGCAAGUAUUGUUUCCAUGGAGAUUAUAUAGCCCCAACCCCUCUUCAUGGUUCAUUGACUUUGAAACUUUUACAUAGUUUACAAGUUAAUAAUUUGUAUUUAGGUUUGGGAACGACUUAUAAUAAGUCAAUGGUAUUUGGUAUGCAGUUGUAUUAGCAUUGGCACAUCUCAUUUACAUGGAGAUUGUUUAGCCAUGUAACUCAGUCAUGGUUCAUUGACUUUGAAUAUUUGCAUAACUUGUGUAAGAUGUUAAAGUAUUGCUAUUUUGAUUUCAACAUUUGCAUAAUCAAAAUUACAAAAAGGCGAGACAUAUCUCUGUGAUAACAGUUUAUGAUAUUUCCUGAUAAGGCUAAUGCAAAUAAAGAUUUAAUUUGUUUUUAAAUUUAACAAACUGAGCAUAAGUUGUGAGGAAUGGAAACUAGCAGGCUGAGUUUUAGGGUUAAGGGGAGGGAAUACACUUGUUUAUCUCUUCAUAUGAGCUAGUUUUGUUCACUGCAUGGAAGGCCUGCAAUAAAUUAGAAUGUAUUAGUUUUAUAUAUAAUUGUUAUAUAUUUUUUGUUAGAUAUGCUAUAUAAGAUGUAAAUAAAGUAAGAUGACAGUAAUAUUUAGAGCUCUGUAAAUAAAAUCGGCUUUUAAACAGGUCUAGAUAAUGCAUUAAGUGGAUUGGUCUGACAUUGGGAUUUCAAAUUAUAUUUACGUCGUCAUCAUCUACAAAAGUGCUUCCAUUCUCAAUAUUAUCUGAUAUUAAACGCCCCUUCCUCCCAAUUAUGACUUCAUUUUAAGUUUAAUGAGUUAUCUCCCAUAUUUGUAGGUACUUUUGGUAACAGUAUUUCAUGAUAAGGCUAAUGCAAAUAGGAGACAACUCUUGUUUUUUGUAGAAAAGAAGAUUUAACUUGUUUUUAAAUUUAAUGGUUAAUCCUGUGACUUCGUAAAUUUUUUCUUAGCUUUAAAAUAAUAUUUAAAACCCUGUCCAUGAAAUUGAACAUUGCUCCUCUUGAUUUUAGUAAGUGAUUUCUUUUGCAAUAGUUAAAAAGAAAUGUCAAAUAGUAUUUCAUAAUGCAUUAGAAGGAAUGGUAUAUUUUAUAGAAUGCUAGUAUUGUUUUACUUGUAUGUUUAGUAGUCACAAAAAAUGUAAUAUAUUAUUAUUUGUUUUCCUAUUUACUAUUAUCAAGUGGAAUAAAAUGACCUAAUUUCCCUGUUUGCUAGUUCAUAACGAUUGUAAAGUUGAAAUUUCUGUAACAAUUAAACGCCUAUGAUUCUUCCCUACAAUGUAUGAGUUUUUUUUAAAGCAGGGUGUAUUUUUUUUCAAUAUUGCCAUAUUCUUAUGUUUUAAGUAGCAGUAUUAUAUAAGGUGAUUGCUACAUAAAUCAUUUCUCAUUUUAAUAAAUAACAUUUAUUUGA
Long non-coding RNA from Mytilus californianus (California mussel), 3355 nucleotides. RefSeq lists it as uncharacterized. The transcript has 3 exons. NCBI's taxonomy places the organism in Eukaryota, Metazoa, Mollusca, Bivalvia, Mytilida, Mytilidae. The record is from RefSeq and is a predicted model, not a curated record.